CUCAGUUCGGAUUGGAGUCUGCAACCCGACUCCAUGAAGCUGGAUUCGCUAGUAAUCGCGCAUCAGCCACGGCGCGGUGAAUACGUUCCCGGGCCUUGUACACACCGCCCGUCAAGCCAUGGGAGCCGGGGGCGCCUGAAGUCCGGGACCGCGAGGACCGGCCUAGGGCGAAACUGGUAACUGGGGCUAAGUCGUAACAAGGUAUC
RNAcentral lists this ribosomal RNA (206 nucleotides) under uncultured bacterium. Its description in RNAcentral is "partial 16S ribosomal RNA". It matches the Rfam family "Bacterial small subunit ribosomal RNA", at positions 1287 to 1500 of the family's 1533-position model. The record is from RNAcentral.